AGCUUGCUCCACCGGAAAAAGAAGAGUGGCGAACGGGUGAGUAACACGUGGGUAACCUGCCCAUCAGAAGGGGAUAACACUUGGAAACAGGUGCUAAUACCGUAUAACAAUCGAAACCGCAUGGUUUUGAUUUGAAAGGCGCUUUCGGGUGUCGCUGAUGGAUGGACCCGCGGUGCAUUAGCUAGUUGGUGAGGUAACGGCUCACCAAGGCCACGAUGCAUAGCCGACCUGAGAGGGUGAUCGGCCACAUUGGGACUGAGACACGGCCCAAACUCCUACGGGAGGCAGCAGUAGGGAAUCUUCGGCAAUGGACGAAAGUCUGACCGAGCAACGCCGCGUGAGUGAAGAAGGUUUUCGGAUCGUAAAACUCUGUUGUUAGAGAAGAACAAGGAUGAGAGUAACUGUUCAUCCCUUGACGGUAUCUAACCAGAAAGCCACGGCUAACUACGUGCCAGCAGCCGCGGUAAUACGUAGGUGGCAAGCGUUGUCCGGAUUUAUUGGGCGUAAAGCGAGCGCAGGCGGUUUCUUAAGUCUGAUGUGAAAGCCCCCGGCUCAACCGGGGAGGGUCAUUGGAAACUGGGAGACUUGAGUGCAGAAGAGGAGAGUGGAAUUCCAUGUGUAGCGGUGAAAUGCGUAGAUAUAUGGAGGAACACCAGUGGCGAAGGCGGCUCUCUGGUCUGUAACUGACGCUGAGGCUCGAAAGCGUGGGGAGCAAACAGGAUUAGAUACCCUGGUAGUCCACGCCGUAAACGAUGAGUGCUAAGUGUUGGAGGGUUUCCGCCCUUCAGUGCUGCAGCUAACGCAUUAAGCACUCCGCCUGGGGAGUACGACCGCAAGGUUGAAACUCAAAGGAAUUGACGGGGGCCCGCACAAGCGGUGGAGCAUGUGGUUUAAUUCGAAGCAACGCGAAGAACCUUACCAGGUCUUGACAUCCUUUGACCACUCUAGAGAUAGAGCUUCCCCUUCGGGGGCAAAGUGACAGGUGGUGCAUGGUUGUCGUCAGCUCGUGUCGUGAGAUGUUGGGUUAAGUCCCGCAACGAGCGCAACCCUUAUUGUUAGUUGCCAUCAUUUAGUUGGGCACUCUAGCAAGACUGCCGGUGACAAACCGGAGGAAGGUGGGGAUGACGUCAAAUCAUCAUGCCCCUUAUGACCUGGGCUACACACGUGCUACAAUGGGAAGUACAACGAGUCGCGAAGUCGCGAGGCUAAGCUAAUCUCUUAAAGCUUCUCUCAGUUCGGAUUGUAGGCUGCAACUCGCCUACAUGAAGCCGGAAUCGCUAGUAAUCGCGGAUCAGCACGCCGCGGUGAAUACGUUCCCGGGCCUUGUACACACCGCCCGUCACACCACGAGAGUUUGUAACACCCGAAGUCGGUGAG
This 1377-nucleotide ribosomal RNA is filed under the name Enterococcus durans. RNAcentral describes it as "bacterial SSU rRNA". It matches the Rfam family "Bacterial small subunit ribosomal RNA", at positions 77 to 1434 of the family's 1533-position model. Lineage: Bacteria; Bacillati; Bacillota; Bacilli; Lactobacillales; Enterococcaceae. The record is from RNAcentral.